RNAcentral lists this long non-coding RNA (2902 nucleotides) under Homo sapiens (human). Its description in RNAcentral is "PREDICTED lncRNA (TCONS_00012482)". The record is from RNAcentral. Lineage: Eukaryota; Metazoa; Chordata; Mammalia; Primates; Hominidae.
AUCUACACACCGUGUCACAAGAGACCCCCAGACCACAGCCUUCCAGAAGCCUCCAUCUACACACCGUGUCACAAGAGACCCUCACACUACAGCCUUCCAGAAGCCUCCAUCUACAUACCAUGUCACAGGAGACCCUCAGACCGCAGCCUUCCAGAAGCCUCCAUCUACACACCAUGUCACAAGAGACCCUCAGACUACAGCCUUCCAGAAGCCUCCAUCUACAUACCAUGUCACAGGAGACUCUCAGGCUGCAGCCUCCCAGAAGCCUCCUGAGGAAAGCAGGGCUUCAUCUGAAGACAGGUCACUGGCACUAAGCUUACUUGUUUUUUUGAGACAGGGUCUCUGUCUGUCGCCCAGGCUGGAGAAUAGUGGUGUGAUCACGGCUCACUGUAGCCUCGACCUCCUCAGGCUCAGGUGAUUCUCCUACCUCAGCCUCCCCAGUAGCAGGGACUACAGGUGCUCACCACCAUACUCAGCUAAUUUUGUAUUUUUUGUAGAGACGGGGUUUCACCAUGUUGCCCAAGCUGGUCUCAAACUCCUGAGCUCAAGCCAUCCACCCACCUCGGCCUCCCCAAAUCCUGGGAUUACAGAUGCGAACUACCGUGCUGGGCCUAAUCUUACUGUUUUAAUGUAAAAAUGGACAGUCUUGAGGAAGACAGAUUGGAAAGCAGAGAGACACAGUGUGAAAUCGCUGCUCUCAGAUCAGCACACGGGAGAGGCCAGCAGUCAGGAGGGGGCUCACCGAGUUUGUCUGCACUCGCUCCCUCCGCAGCCGCCCUCUCCAGCUGGAAGAAGUCGUAAUCGAACCUGCUCAGGUCCUCACUGCCCCACUCCGAAGGAAACCCCACGUACAGGUGAGGUCAGAGGAGUGAAGUGACUUGCCCAAGACCACACAGUGAGUCAGGAGCAGGCCUGUCCCUCCAGCAGUGGUGCCAUGUUGUCCCCAAGCCAUGGUGGCAGAGGAGCUGGUGUGAACGCCCCAUCCUGCCACGUCUGUGAUGUGGGCACCUCACAUGACUGUCCCCUCCCAGCUCUUGGGGGGGACCUAGGACAUUCUGUGAGCCUGCAGGAAAGUUUACCAAAUGCUGCAGCUUUGUCCUGGUGGUGAUGGGCACCCCGUUAACGGCAACCUUGCAUUUGCUAUGUGGAGUGACCGUCACUUUACCGUCGGCAUUUGUGAAGGAAGCGUGUUUAUCUGAAAUUCUAAGAAGAUGAGAGUCAAAGACACCCAGCAAACGGCGGUUUCCGUGAGCAGGGUUGGAGCCCAGGAAGCAAACCAGCACUGCACCCUAGAUUUCAGCCAGAGGACGAAAGCCCUGCCCUCAGCUUUCUCAGACCAGCCCUGGAGUAGGUGGCCCGGGGAGACCUGGGCAGUGUCCCUGCUUGUCCUGCAGACUGUGUGGCUCUGCAGACCUCUAGAUGGAGGAGGCACAAUUCUCUAAUGCUGGACGAGGACACUGAUCAUGGAAACUCACCCCAAACCUUGAAUCGUGAUAGCAUUUGAGGCAGCCUGACCGGUGCCACAUGAACCUGAAAGGAAUCAAGAUAUAAUUUAUUUUGAAAAUAAAUCAGACACUUUCAGAAUUUGAGCGUAAGAAGUUAACAUGUCUGAUGCGUUGGAAGUGACGUUUUCUCUACAGUGGGAUGGUACUGAAGGGAUUUUUCCAGUUGGGAUUUUCAAUCAUAAUGGUACUUAGACAUACUUUUCUUUCUGCCUUGUGUGUGGGGGGAAGAGCGGGGAUGUUCCUAACUUUUAAAAAGUUCCACCUUCUUCAUGAGCAUUCUGGAGGAAGACACCAUUAGGUCUGGGCCUUAGGAGACCCACUGAAUACUGGCCACAGCAGAGGUUCUGGUGUUUGAAGCUCCGUUUCUGUGUAGUGACUGACCCCAAGGAGUGCAGACAUGUCACCCCCCACAUCCCCACAUCCCACGGCCAUCUCGCACGGAGCCCUCGCGGCCGCCCUGGGGGGUGCACGGAGCCCUCGCGGCGGCCCUGGGGGGUGCACGGAGCCCUUGCGGCCGUCCUUGGGGUGCUCGGAGCCCUCGCGGCCGUCCUGGGGGUGCACGGAGCCCUCGCGGCCGUCCUGGGGGUGCACAGCCGGGGAGGGGAAGCCAGGGGCUCCUGCGGUUCUGGGCGCUGUGUUCCAACCUGUUCAGCACUCAUUUAGGUCAGGAAGACAAUUCAACAGCUGAUGCCCUCCUCAGAAACCGCUAAACAAAAAUGUAACAAGAACGAUGCCAGGAUAAUAGAUGAAUAAAACGUGCUGUAUACAUCCGAGGGAAUGGUUUUCAGCCUUCAAGAGGAAGGAAAUUCUCACACAUGCUACAUGGAUGCACCUUGAGGACAUUCUGCUGAGGGCAUAAGCCAGUGAGAGAUGGAUGAAAAGGUCCUUAUCUGAGGUCCCCCAUCGUCAAAUCCACAGAGACAGAAGGUGGGACACUGGCUUCCAGGGCUGGAGGGGGAGGGGUUAUCUGAGGUCCCCCCAUUGUCAAACGCACAGAGACAGAAGGUGGGACAGUGGCUGCUGGACUGGAGGGGGAGGGGUUAUCUGAGGUCCCCCCAUCCUCAAACACACAGAGACAGAAGGUGGGACACUGGCUCCCAGGGCUGGAUGGGGAGGGGUUAUCUGAGGUCCCCCCAUCGUCAAACGCACAGAGACAGAAGGUGGGACACUGGCUCCCAGGGCUGGAGGGGGAGGGGUUAGCUGAGGUCCCCCAUCCUCAAACACACAGAGACAGAAGGUGGGACAGUGGCUGCUGGUCUGGAUGGGGAGGGGUUAUCUGAGGUCCCCCCAUCGUCAAACGCACAGAGACAGAAGGUAGGACACUGGCUCCCAGGGCUGGAGGGGGAGGGGUUAUCUGAGGUCCCCCCACUGUCAAACACACAGAGACAGAAGGUGGG